AAAGAGGGGUGAUGUGGCUGAUUUGGGGGCGAGUCUGCAGCCUGGAGGAAUGGGGGACACAGUGUCUGGCGGUGGGAUCCUAGGGCUGCCCCCCUCUUAGCAAAGCCCAGCUGGAAACUGCAUGGUCCCGGGUGCUGCAAACAGAGCUUCUCCUGCUUCCUUCCUUCUUGUUCAGUCUCUUGCUCUUUUCCCUUCCCUCCUUCCAGCCACCGCGUCUUCCCCCAAGUGCUCGGGGUUUCCUUCUUUCCUGUCUUUCCUUUUGUCUCCCCUCUUCUCCUUUUGGAUUUUUAAAGGUUGCCUGGGAGAGGUAAAGCAGCUGCUGAUUUCAGCUUCCUGGGUUGCUGCCGUUUGCAGGAGAAGCAGCAGCGAGAAGAGGAGGGACUCUCUGGCUACGGCGAUCGUUAUGCUGAUGAGAGUCAGCAGCACGUGGUGUCUCAACCCCGUCCUCAUACUUCUGCAGCCUUCAAAAUAAAUACAACAACGUGCAUCCCCCACAGAAGAAGGAGCUUUGCUUUCAGACGAUCUCCCCCACCCAGGGACAGGACUAGGGGGAAUGACAGGACUGUCUCCGAUCUGUACGUCUCUCCGGGUUUUUCCAUUAACACAUGUUUUGUUUGUUUUGAAAAAAGCCUGGACUAUUUUGUUUGCCAACUAAUAAUACUUAAUAAUUUAGUGCCAAAGGUUUUUGAUGUUUAUUUUUUGCUAAGACCCUGUCAGCCUAAAGCCUAAAACAUUUCCUUGAAUAAAUGAAAGCUAGAAAACCCGCCCUUCAGAUUAUUAAGGUAAAGAGAGUCUGGUUUGUUUUCGCCCUUAAAAAAAAAAGGCAGAUCUUAUUAAAAACAAUUUACAUACCCAAUAGUAAAAAAGUGUCAACGCCUCCCAGAGCAGAUAACAACCUAUCAAAACUCUCCCUCUAACUUACUUCGACGUGCCACUUCCACCUUCUUGUACAAACUGGAGGUUCUGCUGCCGGCUUGUUUUCACAACAGGGUCUGUGGCAACUUUCGAAACCAACCCGCAAUGCUCCACACAGCGCCUAUAUAACAUGAUCCUCUCUGACGAUUAACACAGGAUUAAGUUAUUCCCCACUACAACCACCGUCGCUGUUAUCUGACAAACAUUAAAAAAGAAGGUGAAACUUCCGGGGCUUUGGUCUUUAGUUAUUUGCUUGCUUGCCAUUAAAAUGUUCAAAAGGAUCUUUUUUUCGGUCACAUGGGAGAGCUCUCGCUCUGUAUACCGCUAACUGUGGUUGGCAACUCUGUGCUCUUGUCUGCAAUAGCACUCGUCCUUGAAGGAAAUGCAGCGGAUGACAUGUAUUUGUUUAUUAUUUUCAUUCUACCUCUUUUUUUACAUGGUUAAUAUGUUUGAUAGUAACCCCUGAUCACCUGCCAGCGAUCUAAGGGUUUUUUCUGUGUGUACUUGUCAAAUAGGGGGUAGUGGUGAUGGGGAGUUUACUAUUCCUACCUGGACAUAUAAGUAUGAUGAAUAAGUGCUCCCAUACUUACCAACAAAAUGGGCAAGAUCCUGUCCAAAAGGAGAAGUGUGCACAGUGCCCCGAAAUGGGGAAUUUAACACAAUCUGCAAGGAGCUUAGUAAUUUAAAGGUUUUCAGAGCUCAAAUAGAGUUGCAGUACAGUAAAAUAUUUUUUUAAAAAUUGUUUUUGGUACUAUGUUUAUUAUUGUGCUUUUUAGCACCCUCCCUUUAGAUGGGGGAUAACAUUUUCCGUUAGGUUGAGGGUACAGGUGUUGGGCGGAAAAGAAAAAGUUAACAGGAACCAUAUGUUUCCAAGUACAGAAUUAAUUUGACAGUAGUUAUUUCAGUACUUUUUAAAAAUAAGAAGAUAAUUUCCUCUUUUAAUUAGUCACAUCAGUAUAUUUGCAGUUGCCUCCCUCCAUAUUAAAAUUUAAAAAGUUAAUUAGGAUAAAUCAAAAGAAGUUAUAGGAAGUAACCAGUGUAAGGUCACUUAAAAUAGUCUAUAGUUAUUUAUAAUUUUUCCACUGACCAUCCUAACAAAGUUUCAGGUACCUGGCACAGCUGAUUUUUAGUCUCCUUGCAAAAAUUUCUUUCUGCUUAGCUUUUACAUAUUUAACUGGAACUUGCUAAAGCCUGGAAGAGAUCACAACUCAGAGCACUAGAAUUUUAUUGAAAUUGUUAUGGACACCUUAAUAAAACUACCCAUAAUGUUUAUGGACCAGCAUAAAGGCUGUCUGGGAUUCAUUUUAUAUGUGCUUUAUGCUAUGUUCUGAAUUAUAUGAAACUUUGGCUUGGAUUUGGCUGAAAGACACUUGGGCAGUGGUUCUCAAACUUUUGUAUUGGCGACCCCUUUCACACAGCAAGUCUCUGAGUGUGACCCCCCCCUUAGAAAUUAAAAACACAUUUUAAAAUAUUUAAUGCUAUUAUGAAUGCUGGAGGUGAAACGGGGUUUGCGGGUGGAGGCUGACAGCUUGCAACCCCUCAUGUAAUAACCUCUUGAUCCCCUUGAGGGGUCACAACCCCUAAUUUGAGAACUCCUGCACUUGGGGCAACCCUACCCUCCAGCUUUCUUCUGCUUUCACUUCAGAAGCAUUCAUAAUUUUAGCAUAGGCUGAAAAGUGGAUCACAUUUUAAGAGGUUAGAGAGCCAUAAGAGUUUAGAGAAAAAUUUUUUUUUUAAAGAUUAUGUAUUAAAAAAACCUCCAGACCCAUUUUAUAAAACAAGAUUUUAAUGAGUGCAUCUAUGAUUGCUGCAAAAGCAACUUUGAUGGUCUUUUAGCUUUUUUACCUUUAACUGUGUUACAAAUACAGCUGUACUAUAUGGAAGCAUUUUGCUAGAAAAACAUAUCUUUUAAAUGGCUUAGUAUCUAUUUAAUUUAAAAUUGGUAAAAUUUGGACCCAGUAAUCUCUGGACCUAUCAAUAAUCUCCUGGUCUAAACAUCUGAUCAAGGUAGAAAAUAAUUGAUAAAUGUUGAAUGUUUCUGUACUGAAUGAUGUUUCAUAAAAAUAUUUGUUUUGAUGCUAGUUUGCUUGACUGGAAUGUGCUGUAAUCAUGAUACAUAUUGAACCUCUUAUAACCUUCUCUAUAUGAGUGCAUAGCCUUGAUGGAAAAUAGAAUAAAUUAAUAUGUGUAACAGGUUUAUUAUUGUAUCAGAUAUUUUGGGAGUCAUUAUAGCAAUGUCAGCAAUUACUGCUAUAGUUAAGUACUUGCCAGUAUUUUCUUUCCAAAUUCCACCUUCCAGGAGUUUCUAACUCACUCAUGAAAAUACAAAUCAGGCUGAAAUGUGGUGUGACAUUAGGGUAGUCCUGAUCCCACGGAUGUCCAUGCCCAAACUUCUACAGACUUCAGUGGGAGCACGAUGAGGCCCAAUGUCUCAUGGCAACACUUCGCUUUCAUUUUGGUUACAAAUUGACUACUUGUCCAGCUAUUCUUUGCACUUAAAAGUAUGUCAGGUAGAGUGGCUCAGAAUUUAUAGACUUCUGUUUGAUAGAUUUGGUUGAUUCAUUGUUUACUGUGCUAAGGAGCACAGAUUUCAGAAGUACAAACACAGUAUUACAAGAGUACAUAGACUCCUUCAGUCUCUUUAUUUUAGCUAUCAUGUCUCUGACCCAUUGAUUUAUGACUAAAACACAAGAAAAUUCUAUGCUAUCCUGAAAUGUGCUGUAAGCAUUUUAUAUCUCAGCACCGUACACUGUUUGUAUAGUGUCUACAGUUUCUGGCAGUACCGUAGACAGUCAAGUCUGAAAGACAGACUAGAAAAUGACUACAUAAAACAAUAACUGAUUGACAUCUAUAACAUUAUUGUUUCACACAUUAUUUUCUAUUGGUUAGUUGGGAUUCUUGGGUUCUAUGCAGGGAUUGUCAUUUACUCACUGUGUGACCUUAGUAACUGGCAAGUCACUUAACACCUCUGUGCUUCAGUUUACCUGUGCGUAGAAUGGGGAUAACAAUAGUUACCUCACUUGGGUGUUGUGAGAUUUAAAUAAUUAUGGUCAUUAGUGUCAUGAUUGUCAUAAAGUCAUUUGAAAUCCAAAGAUGAAAGGGGCUAUGUUAGUGCAAAGUAUUAUUAAUAAGUUUUCUUUGUUGAUGAUAAUA
Molecule: long non-coding RNA, 4068 nt
Organism: Mauremys mutica (yellowpond turtle)
Lineage: Eukaryota; Metazoa; Chordata; Testudines; Geoemydidae
Exons: 3
Source: RefSeq, a predicted model, not a curated record